This 604-nucleotide ribosomal RNA is filed under the name Acinetobacter radioresistens. RNAcentral's name for it is "bacterial SSU rRNA". It matches the Rfam family "Bacterial small subunit ribosomal RNA", at positions 122 to 720 of the family's 1533-position model. The record is from RNAcentral. Lineage: Bacteria; Pseudomonadati; Pseudomonadota; Gammaproteobacteria; Moraxellales; Moraxellaceae.
GAAUCUGCCUAUUAGUGGGGGACAACGUUCCGAAAGGAGCGCUAAUACCGCAUACGUCCUACGGGAGAAAGCAGGGGACCUUUGGGCCUUGCGCUAAUAGAUGAGCCUAAGUCGGAUUAGCUAGUUGGUAGGGUAAAGGCCUACCAAGGCGACGAUCUGUAGCGGGUCUGAGAGGAUGAUCCGCCACACUGGGACUGAGACACGGCCCAGACUCCUACGGGAGGCAGCAGUGGGGAAUAUUGGACAAUGGGGGGAACCCUGAUCCAGCCAUGCCGCGUGUGUGAAGAAGGCCUUUUGGUUGUAAAGCACUUUAAGCGAGGAGGAGGCUACCUAGAUUAAUACUUUAGGAUAGUGGACGUUACUCGCAGAAUAAGCACCGGCUAACUCUGUGCCAGCAGCCGCGGUAAUACAGAGGGUGCGAGCGUUAAUCGGAUUUACUGGGCGUAAAGCGUGCGUAGGCGGCCAAUUAAGUCAAAUGUGAAAUCCCCGAGCUUAACUUGGGAAUUGCAUUCGAUACUGGUUGGCUAGAGUAUGGGAGAGGAUGGUAGAAUUCCAGGUGUAGCGGUGAAAUGCGUAGAGAUCUGGAGGAAUACCGAUGGCGAAG